GAAAGUAAGUAAGGGCGUAUGGGGGAUGCCUAGGCUCUUGGAGGCUAAGAAGGACGUGGUAAGCUGCGAAAAGCUGCGGGGAUUUGCAAACGAGACUCGAUCCGCAGAUAUCCGAAUGGGACAACCCGGCAGGUAGAAGACCUGUCACACCGCGAGGUGAGCUAACCCUCUGAACUGAAACAUCUAAGUAGGAGGAGGAAAAGAAAGAAACAUCGAUUUCCAAAGUAGCGGCGAGCGAAAUGGAAGAAGCCCAAACCGAUAUUGUUACGGCAAUAUCGGGGUUGUAGGACUGCAAUAUUCAAUUAACAAUGAACUGGAAUGGUCUGGAAAGUCCAUCCAUAGAGAGUGAAAGGCUCGUACAGGUAAGUUUGUUAUGCGAAAGCAGUAUCCUGAGUAUGGCGGGACACGAGGAAUCCUGUCAGAAUCAGCCGGGACCACCCGGUAAGGCUAAAUACUCCCAAGAGACCGAUAGUGGACCAGUACUGUGAAGGAAAGGUGAAAAGAACCCCGAACAGGGGAGUGAAAUAGAACCUGAAACCAUACGCUUACAACCGGUCGGAGCAGUUUCGUGCUGUGACGGCGUGCCUAUUGAAUAAUGAGCCUACGAGUUACUAAUCACUAGCGAGGUUAAGUGCAAGGAUGCACGGAGCCGAAGCGAAAGCGAGUCUGAACAGGGCGUUUAGUUAGUGGUUGUAGACGCGAAACCUUGCGAUCUACCCUUGAGCAGGUUGAAGGUUGGGUAAAACCAACUGGAGGACCGAACGAAUAAGCGUUGAAAAGCUUCUCGAUGACUUGAGGGUAGGGGUGAAAGGCUAAUCAAGCUGGGAAAUAGCUCGUACUCCCCGAAAUGCCUUUUGGGGCAGCGUUGUAAUAAAGAGUCUACUGGAGGUAGAGCUACUGAUUGGAUGCGGGGGCUUCACCGCCUACCAAAUCCUGACAAACUCCGAAUGCCAGUAGUAUGAUUUACAGCAGUGAGUGACUGGGUGCUAAUGUCCAGUCGCAAAAGAGGAACAACUCAGACCAGCAACUAAGGUCCCGAAGAAUAUGCUAAGUUGAUCUAACGAUGUUUUGUUGCAGAGACAGCUAGGAUGUUAGCUUGGAAGCAGCUAUUCAUUCAAAGAGUGCGUAACAGCUCACUAGUCGAGCGACAGAGCGUGGAUAAUAAACGGGCAUCAAGCAUAUCACCGAAGUUCUGGGCGCGAGAGCGCGGUAGGGGAGCAUUCCAUUCAGCGUCGAAGCAGUUUCGUGAGGAAUUGUGGAGCGUAUGGAAAAGCAAAUGUAGGCAUGAGUAACGAUAAUGCGGGAGAGUAACCCGCACACCGCAAGACCAAGGUUUCCUGAUCAACGCUAAUCGGAUCAGGGUUAGUCGGGUCCUAAGGGUAAGCCGAACGGCGAUCUCGAUGGAUAAUCGGUUAAUAUUCCGAUACUGACAUAUACCUCGAUGGAGAGACGAAGGAACGUAAGUGCCGCCACCUGACGGAAUAGGUGGUUAAAGGGCGUAGAUAUAGGGGCAGAUUAAGAGUUAGUCCUUGCUGAAACCUGACAGUACAGAGAGCCUACGGGCAAUUUGAUAGAGCACCCAAGUCGACUUCCGAGAAAAUCUUCUAAGUUAUAGUAUAUGUUACCCGUACCGUAAACCGACACAGGUGGUCGAGGAGAGUAUCCUAAGGUGCUCGAGUGAAUCACGGUUAAGGAACUAGGCAAAUUAACCCCGUAACUUCGGGAAAAGGGGUCCCUAUGAAAGUAGGGCGCAGCGAAGAGGUCCAGGCGACUGUUUAUCAAAAACACAGGGCUCUGCAAAUUCGAAAGAAGACGUAUAGGGCCUGACACCUGCCCGGUGCUGGAAGGUUAAGAGGGGAUGUCAUCGCAAGAGAAGCAUUGAAUCGAAGCCCCAGUAAACGGCGGCCGUAACUAUAACGGUCCUAAGGUAGCGAAAUUCCUUGUCGGGU
This 1949-nucleotide ribosomal RNA is filed under the name human gut metagenome. RNAcentral's name for it is "bacterial LSU rRNA". It matches the Rfam family "Bacterial large subunit ribosomal RNA", at positions 1 to 1977 of the family's 2925-position model. The record is from RNAcentral.